Molecule: long non-coding RNA, 1042 nt
Organism: Oncorhynchus keta (chum salmon)
Lineage: Eukaryota; Metazoa; Chordata; Actinopteri; Salmoniformes; Salmonidae
Exons: 5
Source: RefSeq, a predicted model, not a curated record
UCCCUCAUCUCUGUACCCCCACACAUACAAUUAUCUGUAAGGUCCCUCAUCUCUGUACCCCAACACAUACAAUUAUCUGUAAGGUCCCUCAUCUCUGUACCCCACACAUACAAUUAUCUGUAAGGUCCCUCAUCUCUGUACCCCACACAUACAAUUAUCUGUAAGGUCCCUCAUCUCUGUACCCCAACACAUACAAUUAUCUGUAAGGUCCCUCAUCUCUGUACCCCACACAUACAAUUAUCUGUAAGGUCCCUCAUCUCUGUACCCCACACAUACAAUUAUCUGUAAGGUCCCUCAUCUCUGUACCCCACACAUACAAUUAUCUGUAAGGUCCCUCAUCUCUGUACCCCACACAUACAAUUAUCUGUAAUGUCCCUCAUCUCUGUACCCCACACAUACAAUUAUCUGUAAGGUCCCUCAUCUCUGUACCCCACACAUACAAUUAUCUGUAAUGUCCCUCAUCUCUGUACCCCACACAUACAAUUAUCUGUAAGGUCCCUCAUCUCUGUACCCCACACAUACAAUUAUCUGUAAUGUCCCUCAUCUCUGUACCCCACACAUACAAUUAUCUGUAAGGUCCCUCAUCUCUGUACCCCACACAUACAAUUAUCUGCAAGGUCCCUCAUCUCUGUACCCCACACAUACAAUUAUCUGCAAGGUCCCUCAUCUCUGUACCCCACACAUACAAUUAUCUGUAAGGUCCCUCAUCUCUGUACCCCACACAUACAAUUAUCUGUAAGGUCCCUCAUCUCUGUACCCCACACAUACAAUUAUCUGUAAUGUCCCUCAUCUCUGUACCCCACACAUACAAUUAUCUGUAAGGUCCCUCAUCUCUGUACCCCACACAUACAAUUAUCUGUAAGGUCCCUCAUCUCUGUACCCCACACAUACAAUUAUCUGUAAGGUCCCUCAUCUCUGUACCCCACACAUACAAUUAUCUGUAAGGUCCCUCAUCUCUGUACCCCCACACAUACAAUUAUCUGCAAGGUCCCUCAUCUCUGUACCCCACACAUACAAUUAUCUGUAAGGUCCCUCAUCUCUG